GGGACGUCUGCGGCCUGAGGGAACCCAGCUGAAGUGGGCGAUGAUCCCGGCGACGGAUCCCGUGUGUGAGAGCCCCACCUCCCACGACUGGGAAAGGGGUGUUCCACCACUAAAACUCCAGCUUUCCAUGGAUACUUCAGCAAGGGAGAGAACCUGAAGCACCAGUGGUUAUUUUUACAGUGCUUAAAAAUGUUUCGGCUUACCAGAGAUUGAAGAUGCCUAUCCUGUGGCUGAAGCCAGAGCACCCCACUGCAACUACUCAACAACUUGAGAGAGCCCAGGCCCUUUUCUGUAGACACAAACUAUUCACACACCUGGUCUUGGGAGGGUGAAGAUGCGUUAAGAAGAAAGCAGUGGGAUGUGUGGGAUCCACAAACAGGAAGAGGCUUGUAGCGCAUUAAAGAAAAUGCCAAGUGAAGGCUCUCACCCCAGAACCACCACCCGAGUUCCUAUUCCUGUAGAGAUUUCCACUGUAACAGGCGUUAACUUUUCUAAUCAAAGUAGAAAUGGUUUAACUCUCAAGAGAUGCUCACCUUUUAAUAGAUUCUUGAAGUCCUCAAGGAAAGAGAACAGCAAAAGAAUGUUUGCAGUGACUUGGGGACGGCAAGAGGGCCAGCCCAGCGCCCGCUAAAUCACAGCUUGUAUUGCCAACUCCCUACCUGUAAGACUCAUUGCGCCUGUCACUGGGUGUAUCUCAGACUUUACAAUUUAUGACUCAACCCGCCUGCAACAGGAUAAAUGAAUUGUCAGUGCUCUCUUUAGUUGCCUCCCGUAAACCAAGUCCAUCUUGAAGAGUUUGAGGCAUUGGACAACAUUAAUCAACCAAGAUCUGAAUUCUUCAUUGGACUACAAACUCUUUAGAAGACAAAAGCUAGAUUGUGUUUUUGCUACCUUCCACAUCCUAAAGCUGCGUCACUAGCAGCACAACUGAGAAGUCAGUAACAGCCACGCUCUGGGGCUGUGAGCUAAACCAAUAGAAGCAAAUUUGGACCUUUUAAGCCUUGAAGGAGGGGAAGCAAAACUGGAAGCUGUUGCUUAGUAUGAUUUGCUUGGGGGAAUAGCCAAAGAGAAGAUGAACAUUGUGGAGAUCUAUCCCCAGCAAGCCAGGAGGGCAAGAAGACAUAACCCAUCGCCAUUGCGUCUAUCCUCCCCAGGUACCAUGAUAGAUUGGAGCUUUCUCCUUCAGUUACUUUUCAGCUCCAGACUGCCUCUGGACCUGUGUUCUUCAGUGGCCAGGAAUGUUUUGACACUUUCAACCUGCCCUUCAUACAGGAGCCCUAGGAGGAGGAGGAAGAGGAAGAAGAUGAUGAUGUAGACAUGUCCCUAGAGGAGGUGAUUUAUGUCAUCAAGAGGCUCGUACCCCAGAAGCAGAUGAACUUUGAAGAGGAAAAAAAGGUGGAAAAAGAAGAGAAGAAACGAGACACAGUUUUAAAACAAGAGUCCUGUGAGGAAUACCAAACCUACACUCAGACCUAAAAAGCUGGGAUCCAAGAAAUGAGCCAGGAAUGGCCUGGCUACAGAAACCAAGACAGAAUCUGCAAGUGGGCCUUCCUCAGAGUGUGCUACAGACUUAGGGUGCCCCCCACCAAAGUCUCCCAAGGUGACCAAGGUGUUGUGGGAGGUGCAAUACAAAAGCCCAUCACUCCAGAUAUCAGAUUUCAGCAGGACCAGGAGAGAAAAACCCUGACCUCAGAGCCACAGUAAAGUUUGCUUUACCAGGAAAUUUUUUAAAAAGUAUACAAUACUGGAGUUUCUGUUGUGGCUCAGCAGUAACGAAUCCGACUAGUAUCCAUGAGGAUGUGGGUUCAAUCCUUGGCUUUGCUCAGCGGGUUAAGGAUAUGGUGUUGCCGUGAACUGCAGUGUAGGUCACAGACGUGGCUCAGAUCUGGCAUUGUGUGGCUGUAGUGUAGGCUGGCAGCUACAGCUCUGAUUCAACUCCUAGCCUAGGAAAUUCCAUGAGCUGCAGUAUGGCCCUAAAAAAACAAACAAACAAAAAGCAUACAAUAUUUAGCACAGUAUACUUUACAUUAUAAUGUUUCAGCAAAAUAUUGUUUUGUUUUAUUGAAGUAUAAUUGAUUUAUAAUGUUGUGAUAAUUUCUUCUGUACAUCAAAGUGAUUCAGUUAUACAUGUACACAUACCCAUUCUCUCAGAUUCUUUUCCCACAUAGUUUAUCACAGAUUAUUGGGUAGAGUCCUCAUUAUACAGCAGGUCCCCAUUGUUCAAUCAUUCUAUAUUCCUCAGUGUGCAUAUGCAAAUCCCAAACUACUAGUCCAUUCUUCCCUCCCUGCCCUGUCCACUUUGGUAACAUAUAAGUUUGUUUUCAAAGUCUGUGAGUCUAUUUCUUUUCUGCAAGUAAGUUCAUUUGUAUUCUUUUUUAAAAUUCCACAUAUAAGUGAUAUAUAAUAUUUGUCUUUCACUGUCUAACUUCACUUAGUAUAAUAAUCUCUAGGUCCAUCCAUGUUGCUGCAAAUGGGAUUAUUUCAUUUUUAUGGCUGAGUAAUAUUCCAUUGUGUAUAUGUCCCACAUCUAACUUUAUACCUAAAGCAACUAGAGAAAGAAUUUGAUAAUGAGGUGUAAAAAAAUAUUUUCUCUCAAGUUCAUCAGGUAGUUACUUCUCACUUCCCACCAUUCCACUUAAACUUCUGUCUUACUUUUUUCUCUUUUUCAGUUUUUCUAACACUUUUUCUGCAGAACUGCAUUAUUGUGGGUACAGGGUUGUCCUUUGGGUGAUGAAAAUAUCUUGGAUAUACUUAGAGGUGAUGGUUGCUCAGUAUAGUGAAUGUGCUAAAUGCAACUGAAUUGUACACGUUUUUUAAAAAGUUAAUGGUUGAUUUAUGUUCUGUGAAUUUCACCUUAAUUUAAAAAAUGCACUACUUGAGUUAGUAACAGAGACCCUUUGGCUUGUAAACAGUCUCACCCUGUCUUUUAAAAUGCUGCUAAUGCUUGUCUUUCAUGGAUUUAGCUAUUUCACCUUUCUCCCAUAUGCCAUUGAAAACAACAAAAGGUUGGUCUAGGCAACUGUCCAAAGGCCUUGUGGAACUCAGCAGUGAGGCCAUCAACAUUUGGUCAUAAGUUCUUGUUUAACUGUAAUUUCUACUAGUAAGUUGUUUUUGCUCAUUUAAUGACACUCUCCUAUCAGUGCUCAUUCUUUCUCCUCCUUUUUCUCACUGUCUUUUCUUGCUCUUGAAUCAGUUCCAUGAAGAACAUUGUCACUUGUCUCUUGGAGACUUUUUAAGAUGAUACUAUUAGACGUCUUCAGUCUACUGUAUGUUCUUAUAAAAUAUAGAUUAAGGAUUUUGAGGGGUAGAGAGAGAUAAUUCUUGGCACUGGUUAUAAAUAAAGACUGGAUAUAUAGUUAGAUGGAGAGUAAGUUUAUUGUAACUUGUUCCUGAUACAGACCUGAUCAUUUCUACUCCUUUUUAUUUUUGUUGAGGAGGGGUAGAAAAUCAACCUUCAGAUAUAGAAGGCAGAAAAAUUUUCCUUCUUGUGGAUUUUUGGAACCAGGCAGCCUCUGUUCAGAUCCUGGUGCUGUCAGAUUCUAGCUGUGUGAUCUUAGGUCUGUCAUUUGGGCAAGUCACUUUCCUCAUGUGAAAACUUGGGAAAACAAUAGUGCCUACCUUCUAAGGUCCUUGUGGAGAUUGAAUCUGAUGAUGUAUAUAAAUGUCCCUUGAGAGCACUCAUGGGCAUGUGUGUGAGCAUUUGUGUUCACACUUAUUCUUUUUCUAGUUCUCCCCUAGUAUCAUAAAUUACUCCACCUUCUUUAUUACAAACAUUGAGUAACAAAUACUUCUGCCCCCUGCCUGGGGCAAUGGCUCUUUCUCCUAUCCCUACCAUGUGUAAAUACAUGCCAGUCAAGGAAGCACCCAGGAAGGAAAUUGAACAUAGACUAUAUUUGAUGAGUUUCAAAAUUACAAGGAAAAAAAAAUAGCAGUAGGUGUCAGAUUCUAGAAGAAAAGGAAAAGCAACAUCUCUGUGGUAAACCAUAUAAUUCCUCUUUGUGAUCUUUAUUUCUUGGUAGGAAAUUUUUUUCAUUGUACACAAAUAACACAGGGAGCUUAAAUAUUGUGUAGAAAUUGGUUAUAACUGCUGUAUCCCUUUAAUUUAGGGAGGGGAGGAGGGAAAGCCUUGAACUGUAGAUGAAAGUUAUUCCGCAUGUUAAAUAAGAAAAUACAGAUUUGAGUUGUGCAAUAUUUCUGAUUUGGUUUUAACAUGAAGGGGAAAUUGCCUGAUGUGUUAUCAGGAGGCAGCAAGGUUCAGGGAAAGAGCUCUGGAAUGGGGAUCAGGAGACACAGGUCUUGGCCCUGCUAAGUGACCUUGACUGGCCCCUUCUCCCAGCUGGGUCUGUUUAUUGAUAAGGAAAAUGUAAGCACUGAAUCAAACCUCCCCCCACCUUUUUUAACUCAAAAACUGCUUUUUACAGAACAACUCCACUCUCCAGGAAUUUUACAAAUAUUUUAUCACUUUUUGUGGUAGAUUAUGAACUGGUUUUAGGUUAAAAAAGCAUUUUAGGGAGUUCCCGUCGUGGAUCAGUGGAAACAAAUCCAACUAGUAACCAUAAGGAUAUGGGUUCAAUCCCUGGCUUUACUAGGUAGGUUAAGGAUCUGGUGUUGCCUUGAGCUGUGGUGUGGGUUGCAGAGAUAGCUCGGAUCCCCCUUUGCUGUGUGGGCCAGCAGCUGUAGCUCUGAUUCAACCCCUAGCUUGGGAACUUCCAUGUGCCACAGGUUCAGCCCUAAAAAGGAAAAAAAAAUUAGUAUUUUAAUAAAAAUGUAUUAAGAUAAUUUUAAUAAAACCACUAAUAUAUAGCCAGAAUCCUAUAUUUCCUUUUGUGGCAACAUUGGAUUAGAAAAACACCGAGUCACAUUAUCGCUGUAUCAGUGUUUCAUUUAAAAUAUAUUUUUUUCAGGAGUUCCCGUCGUGGCGCAGUGGUUAAUGAAUCCAACUAGGAACCAUGAGGUUGUGGGUUCGGUCCCUGCCCGUGCUCAAUGGGUUAACGAUCUGGCGUUGCCGUGAGCUGUGGUGUAGGUUGCAGAUGCGGCUCGGACCCAGCGUUGCUGUGGCUCUGGCGUAGGCCGUACGGCUCCAAUUAGACCCCUAGCCUGGGAACCUCCAUAUGCCGCGGAAGCGGCCCAAAGAAAUAGCAAAAAGACAAAAAACAAAAAAAACAAACAAAAAAAA
This 5176-nucleotide long non-coding RNA is filed under the name Sus scrofa (pig). RNAcentral's name for it is "lncRNA (ENSSSCG00030036213.1)". Lineage: Eukaryota; Metazoa; Chordata; Mammalia; Artiodactyla; Suidae. The record is from RNAcentral.